RNAcentral lists this ribosomal RNA (337 nucleotides) under Campylobacter jejuni. Its description in RNAcentral is "bacterial SSU rRNA". It matches the Rfam family "Bacterial small subunit ribosomal RNA", at positions 1195 to 1533 of the family's 1533-position model. Lineage: Bacteria; Pseudomonadati; Campylobacterota; Epsilonproteobacteria; Campylobacterales; Campylobacteraceae. The record is from RNAcentral.
AUGGCCCUUAUGCCCAGGGCGACACACGUGCUACAAUGGCAUAUACAAUGAGACGCAAUACCGCGAGGUGGAGCAAAUCUAUAAAAUAUGUCCCAGUUCGGAUUGUUCUCUGCAACUCGAGAGCAUGAAGCCGGAAUCGCUAGUAAUCGUAGAUCAGCCAUGCUACGGUGAAUACGUUCCCGGGUCUUGUACUCACCGCCCGUCACACCAUGGGAGUUGAUUUCACUCGAAGCCGGAAUACUAAACUAGUUACCGUCCACAGUGGAAUCAGCGACUGGGGUGAAGUCGUAACAAGGUAACCGUAGGAGAACCUGCGGUUGGAUCACCUCCUUUCUAG